Molecule: non-coding RNA, 26 nt
Filed under: Homo sapiens (human)
Lineage: Eukaryota; Metazoa; Chordata; Mammalia; Primates; Hominidae
Source: RNAcentral
UGAUGGGAGGAACAGAGGUGCUCAGG